CAAAUUGAUUCACAAAUCUCGUAUACAAGUAAAUAAGAAAGGAAAGGAGGCUGCAGCUUGCAAUGAUCUCCUUUCCAAAGUAACUUCUGGACCCGAUGUUCAUCUCGGCCCCCCUCCAAGUUUUGUUGCAGAUCAUCCUUUCAUAUUCAUGAUCAAGGAAGAAGGAUCUGGAGUUGUAUUUUUCGUUGGAGCGGUACUGAAUCCUCUUUUAGAGGCUUGAU
Molecule: unclassified non-coding RNA, 221 nt
Filed under: Hevea brasiliensis (rubber tree)
Lineage: Eukaryota; Viridiplantae; Streptophyta; Magnoliopsida; Malpighiales; Euphorbiaceae
Source: RNAcentral